RNAcentral lists this ribosomal RNA (319 nucleotides) under uncultured bacterium. RNAcentral's name for it is "bacterial SSU rRNA". It matches the Rfam family "Bacterial small subunit ribosomal RNA", at positions 476 to 794 of the family's 1533-position model. The record is from RNAcentral.
UACCAGAGGAAUAAGCACCGGCUAACUCCGUGCCAGCAGCCGCGGUAAUACGGAGGGUGCAAGCGUUAUCCGGAUUCACUGGGUUUAAAGGGUGCGUAGGUGGGCAGGUAAGUCAGUGGUGAAAUCUCCGAGCUUAACUCGGAAACUGCCAUUGAUACUAUCUGUCUUGAAUAUCCUGGAGGUGAGCGGAAUAUGUCAUGUAGCGGUGAAAUGCUUAGAUAUGACAUAGAACACCAAUUGCGAAGGCAGCUCACUACGGGAUUAUUGACACUGAGGCACGAAAGCGUGGGGAUCAAACAGGAUUAGAUACCCUGGUAGU